UGGGCCAGGGACUGAACCCGUGCCACAGCAGCAACCCAAAGCACUGCAGGACAACGACAGAUCCUUAACCCGCUGCACCAUAAGAGGACACUGAGGGUUUUUCUUUAUGUAAUAAAACAGAUAAUGAAUGCUUAUUGAACAGCAGGGUCGGAUAUUAACUUUUAGCCUCUGGAGAAAUAGAUGAUCCACACGUACUGAAAUCCUUGGGUAAAGGAUUAAUGGAGAAUGAGAGAGAACAUGCUAUCUAUCAGCUCAUAUAUUGUUUUGUGAUGGGCAAGGUUUGACAGGGAUCUGGAUGUCCAUGUGUUGACCAGAUGAUUACUCAUGGCAACAUUAUGGUGGGAGGACCAGCCGUUUGGACGCCUUUUGAUUUGAAAUCUUACAAAUGCACAGCAUCGCCUGUGAUGUAUGAGUGUCAAACAUAUUUAAACAUUAUUAUGUCAACAGCCACAUGCCAACUGGACUACUUUUUUCAACAAUUCAACAUUACAGAAUAAGUGGAGAGAGAUUUAAGAGUCCAGCAGUAAAAUGUAAUUUAUAAUUCUUGCUUGUAUCUUGUUUUAAACAAAAAAAUGUACAAAAUAUACUUUAGAAAAAAUAGCAGAUAUUCAAAUAUGGGCUAUGAAUUAGACGGGACUAGGACAUUAGUGUUAAAAUGUCAUCAUGAAACUACACUUCAUUUUUUAGAAGUGUAUAACUGAAAUAUUUGAGGGUGAAAUAUCAAGAUGUCUGUGAUUGUAUUUAAAAUUAUUUAGAAAAAAAUCAAUGAAGCAUAGCUAGCUAACAUUUGCUGCCACUAGUAUGAAAUAUUAUUUUUAAUAUUUUCUUCAUAUUUUCCCUUUACUGUAUGUUUGAGGAUUUUCCUAAUAAAAAAAUAAAGGAAUCUUCAAUGAACAUCUAAAAUAAUUAACUACCUCUUAUUGGCAUAAUGAAAAGAAGGAAAGGAGGAAAGGGAAGAUGGAUCACAAGUUUAAGGAAAACUUCGCAUUGUUUUAUAACGCUUAACAUUUUUUUCAUAAGCCUUUGGUCCAUAAGUCUUGUGUUUGUUUGUUUGUUUAUUUUGUCUUUUUGUCUUUUGGGGCCGCUCUGGCAGCAUAUGGAGGUUCCCAGGCUAGGGGAUGAAUUGAAGCUAUAGCUGCCGGCCUAUGCCAGAACGACAGCAAGCCGUGAUCUGAGCUGUGUCUGCGAACUACACAACAGCUCACAGCAACGCCAGAUCCUUAACCCACUGAGCGAGGCCAUCCUCAUGGAUGAUAGUGGGUUUGUUAACCACUGAGCCACAAUGGGAACUCCUAGACCAUAAGUUUUAUUUAAGCAUAUUUUCCAUUAGUAUCUCCCUAUCACCAUAUUUCUGCUUUGUGCCUGAGCUUUGGCUCUGCUCAAUCUGGUUAUAUCUUUUCCGUACCACAUGUUAUUUUUGAGAACUUCCAGUUUCAAUUUCUUGACUUAAUAUUUCAAUGCCCAAAUUCUUUAUUAAUGCCUCAUAAAUGGACACUACCCUUGCUUGCUUCUGUCUGAAUAUAGAAACUAAUCCAUUUCAUGUAAGGAGAACAACAGAGAGUGGUAUCUUAUGCCAACCCAAUUUACAGUAUAACUUGCAAACUCAAUUGCAAUCUGUGUUUCUAAAGUAUAGGCUUCUGCCUAAUAAUAUGGUUUUACAAUCGAAGAAAAUUGAUCUCACUGUUCUGCAUAAAUUGCCAAAAGUAGAGUCUAGGGGUAAUCACACUAGCUGGUACCAUUUGUAAAGACUCAGUAUAUUAUCCAAGCUAUGCUAAAUGUGUGAGAUAAAUUAUGCCCACUUCACAGAUGCAUAAACUGAGAAUCAUAAGUCAACCAACUUGCCUAAGGUCAAUUUUCUAAAAGAUACCUGAGUUAGAUUUUUUAUUUCAGCUCUCUGUCUCUAAAAGUAAUGCACUUUUCUUGCCGUAAAAGAUUCUAUUUUCAGUUAAGAAAAUAUUCAGUUUGCAUAACUAAAAGUAACAUUAUUUACCAUUAGAAUGAUGGUUGCAGUAUGAUUUCCAAGACAUAGAUGAACCCAUUAUGCUAUAUAGCAUUUUACUUUGUUUUCUGUUACAACUGCAAGUUGAGAAUAGUAACAUCCUCAGGCGAUUGCAGGCCUUUGUCAGCAAGUUUCCAGAGGACUGCACACCAGGGUUAUGAAGGGAUCCUCUAUGAUUAAUGUCACAGAGACCCAUAGCAACCUCAGUCAGA
RNAcentral lists this long non-coding RNA (2211 nucleotides) under Sus scrofa (pig). RNAcentral's name for it is "lncRNA (ENSSSCG00060017017.1)". Lineage: Eukaryota; Metazoa; Chordata; Mammalia; Artiodactyla; Suidae. The record is from RNAcentral.